UACGUAGGGUGCGAGCGUUGUCCGGAAUUAUUGGGCGUAAAGAGCUUGUAGGCGGUUUGUCGCGUCUGCUGUGAAAAUCCGGGGCUCAACCCCGGACUUGCAGUGGGUACGGGCAGACUAGAGUGUGGUAGGGGAGACUGGAAUUCCUGGUGUAGCGGUGGAAUGCGCAGAGAUCAGGAGGAAUACCGAAGGCGAAGGCAGUCUUCCAAGCCGUUAUUGACGCUCAACUGCGAAGGUGUGGGUAUCAAACAGGAUUAGAUACCCGCGUAGUCCCU
RNAcentral lists this ribosomal RNA (275 nucleotides) under uncultured prokaryote. RNAcentral describes it as "partial 16S ribosomal RNA". It matches the Rfam family "Bacterial small subunit ribosomal RNA", at positions 524 to 798 of the family's 1533-position model. The record is from RNAcentral.